Long non-coding RNA from Carassius carassius (crucian carp), 353 nucleotides. RefSeq lists it as uncharacterized. The transcript has 3 exons. Lineage: Eukaryota; Metazoa; Chordata; Actinopteri; Cypriniformes; Cyprinidae. The record is from RefSeq and is a predicted model, not a curated record.
AGCCUUGGUUCUGUUCCUGGUGAUGCAACAUGCAAACAGGAUUAGUGACACUGGUGUCCACAGGUUUAGCUUUAUAAAUCACAAUGAAAUGUGCUCUAGAUCAUCGUCGAAGUCUGUGAUGUUUGACAGGAUCCUCUUGAUGUCCUCUAUCAUGUCCUUGAUCUCAUCAGGGGAUUUGGGCAGCUGAAUGGACAACACAGCAUUGGCCAGUUUCUCAAUGUCCUCCGGCUUCACCAGCUCGUCUGUUAAGUGGGGUCCAGUGGAGUGUUCCCUGCAGUCCAGACAGUCUCCAGUGACCAGGUCACAGAUGUCAGCCAACCCGUUGCAUUUGCAACCUCUGCACAGGGGAAAAC